UACGUAGGUGGCGAGCGUUGUCCGGAAUUACUGGGUGUAAAGGGCGUGUAGGCGGGAAUGUAAGUCAGAUGUGAAAUCCCAUGGCUUAACUGUGGGGCUGCAUCUGAAACUAUGUUUCUUGAGUGCUGGAGAGGAAAGCGGAAUUCCUAGUGUAGCGGUGAAAUGCGUAGAUAUUAGGAGGAACACCAGUGGCGAAGGCGGCUUUCUGGACAGUAACUGACGCUGAGGCGCGAAAGCGUGGGGAGCAAACAGG
Molecule: ribosomal RNA, 253 nt
Filed under: uncultured bacterium
Lineage: Bacteria
Description: partial 16S ribosomal RNA
Rfam family: Bacterial small subunit ribosomal RNA
Source: RNAcentral